UUAAGGAGCAUCCCUUAUAUAAUGUGACCAACAUCUGGGGACGUUUGUCAAUUGAGUUGUAUACGUAUUGAUGAAGAUUUUUGUCCACUACAUAGAGUUAAACAUAAUUAUUAAAUUAAGUUUUAAAGCCCCGUUUACACGAGCAAAUUUUAUUUGACAAAUUUCAUAUGUCAAAGAUAUUUUGCUCGUGUAAAUGACAAAUUUGUGACAAAUUUAUUGUGACAAAUGCAUUUGAACAUACAAAUCAAAUGCAUUUGAUCAAAUGAAAUUUGUCAAAUAAAAUUUGCUCGUGUAAACGGGGCUUAAGUUAAAAUAUUGGUAAUAUAGCAUCAACUAAAUUAUCCUUUCCCAACUUCCACCAGUAUUGAUAUAACUAUAUGUCAAUACGGAAAAAAGUUUUAUAUUUUUUUAUAAUAUAGCAAUGU
Non-coding RNA from Paramuricea clavata, 425 nucleotides. Lineage: Eukaryota; Metazoa; Cnidaria; Anthozoa; Malacalcyonacea; Plexauridae. The record is from the annotation of a GenBank genome assembly.